This 502-nucleotide long non-coding RNA is filed under the name Zonotrichia albicollis (white-throated sparrow). Its description in RNAcentral is "lncRNA (ENSZALG00000000441.1)". The record is from RNAcentral. Lineage: Eukaryota; Metazoa; Chordata; Aves; Passeriformes; Passerellidae.
AUAUUCCUGUGCAAUGCAAUUCUGUCUGUGAGACCCAUUGGUGACCUUCCCUGGCAAACCAAGAUGCAAUCAGUGUGGUGAAAUCUGUACACUUUUCUACGAUCCCAAGAUGAUUUUGACACCGUAUCCUGUUUCAAGGGAAGAGGUGAACCAGGAGAGUGCUAGACCGAAAGCUAAUCCCAGCAGCAUUCUUGCCAUCCUGAAUGGCAGCACAAUUGUUUCUCACGCAAUGCUAUCACAGACAAGGAAGAAGAGCAGAUCACUGGUACAGUGCUCCAUGGCAGCCUGGGGAAUCCAGAGAUGGAGAAAUAAAGGGAUAUGGAUCUCUAAUUCAGAGCAGAUUGAAAAAACAAUGUCGGAAAAAGGAUCUGUAUUUAUACUCAUAAUACAGAACACAAGGAUCACUUCAUUCAGCAGCUGGAGACACAGGGAACAUCCAUAUCCUAGAUUUAGAAAGCUGAGAAGGCAUCACAGCCCAUCUCCUCCUGCUAGCACAGGAUGA